Molecule: long non-coding RNA, 207 nt
Filed under: Lathyrus oleraceus (garden pea)
Lineage: Eukaryota; Viridiplantae; Streptophyta; Magnoliopsida; Fabales; Fabaceae
Description: Pisum sativum (pea) long non-coding RNA (PSAT_LNC013012)
Source: RNAcentral
UUUCACUACGAAACAUGCGCCUAAAUCUCGAAUUAUCGGAAAUACCAUAAGACUUUUGCGGGAGAUAAUCUUUUCUUAUAUCGAGACAAACCACAUUUAGGGCACUCAGUUAACAUUGCAUAUUCGUUACGAAACAAAAUGCAAUCGUUAGGACAAGCAUGUAUCUUAUCAUAGCUCAUGCCAAUAGAGCACAACAUUUUUUUUUGC